This 379-nucleotide ribosomal RNA is filed under the name uncultured Thelephoraceae. RNAcentral describes it as "eukaryotic LSU rRNA". It matches the Rfam family "Eukaryotic large subunit ribosomal RNA", at positions 1 to 371 of the family's 3401-position model. The record is from RNAcentral. Lineage: Eukaryota; Fungi; Basidiomycota; Agaricomycetes; Thelephorales; Thelephoraceae.
CUGAUCUCAAAUCAGGUAGGACUACCCGCUGAACUUAAGCAUAUCAAUAAGCGGAGGAAAAGAAACUAACAAGGAUUCCCCUAGUAACUGCGAGUGAAGCGGGAAGAGCUCAAAUUUAAAAUCUGGCAUGCCUCUGGCUGUCCGAGUUGUAGUCUGGAGAAGCGUUUUCCGUGUUGGACCGUGUACAAGUCUCUUGGAACAGGGCGUCAUAGAGGGUGAGAAUCCCGUCUUUGACACGGACUACCAAUGCUUUGUGAUGCGCUCUCAAAGAGUCGAGUUGUUUGGGAAUGCAGCUCAAAAUGGGUGGUAAAUUCCAUCUAAAGCUAAAUAUAGGCGAGAGACCGAUAGCGAACAAGUACCGUGAGGGAAAGAUGAAAAG